GAAGAAUCAGUGCUUGGAGGAGCUGCUUAUAGAAAAAUUGAGGAGCAUCUACUGCAGAAGACCUCAAUAAUGCAUAAGAACAUCUGGAGGUGCGGUAAUUUCGGCUAUCAGAGAUAAGAAUUGACACAAAACAGUCUCUAGGUUGAGACCUGAGGAUGGAGGCAAUAAGAAAAGCUCUUGAG
This is a long non-coding RNA of Zonotrichia leucophrys gambelii, 182 nucleotides long. RefSeq lists it as uncharacterized. The transcript is spliced from 3 exons. The record is from RefSeq and is a predicted model, not a curated record. NCBI's taxonomy places the organism in Eukaryota, Metazoa, Chordata, Aves, Passeriformes, Passerellidae.